AGAGUUUGAUCAUGGCUCAGGACGAACGCUGGCGGCGUGCUUAACACAUGCAAGUCGAACGGAAAGGCCCUUCGGGGUGCUCGAGUGGCGAACGGGUGAGUAACACGUGGGUGAUCUGCCCUGCACUUUGGGAUAAGCCUGGGAAACUGGGUCUAAUACCGAAUAGGACUCCGGACUGCAUGGUCUGGGGUGGAAAGCUUUUGCGGUGUGGGAUGGGCCCGCGGCCUAUCAGCUUGUUGGUGGGGUGAUGGCCUACCAAGGCGACGAUCGUUAGCUGGUCUGAGAGGACGAUCAGCCACACUGGCACUGCGACACGGGCCAGACUCCUACGGGAGGCAGCAGUAAGGAAUAUUGCGCAAUGGACGAAAGUCUGACGCAGCGACGCCGCGUGGGGGAUGAAGGUCUUCGGAUUGUAAACCCCUUUCGGGAGGGAAGAUGGAGUGGGUAACCACUUGGACGGUACCUCCAGAAGCAGCCACGGCUAACUUCGUGCCAGCAGCCGCGGUAAUACGAAGGUGGCAAGCGUUGUUCGGAUUCACUGGGCGUACAGGGAGCGUAGGCGGUUGGGUAAGCCCUCCGUGAAAUCUCCGGGCCUAACCCGGAAAGUGCAGAGGGGACUGCUCAGCUAGAGGAUGGGAGAGGAGCGCGGAAUUCCCGGUGUAGCGGUGAAAUGCGUAGAGAUCGGGAGGAAGGCCGGUGGCGAAGGCGGCGCUCUGGAACAUUUCUGACGCUGAGGCUCGAAAGCGUGGGGAGCAAACAGGAUUAGAUACCCUGGUAGUCCAA
This 783-nucleotide ribosomal RNA is filed under the name uncultured bacterium. RNAcentral's name for it is "bacterial SSU rRNA". It matches the Rfam family "Bacterial small subunit ribosomal RNA", at positions 8 to 798 of the family's 1533-position model. The record is from RNAcentral.